ACGAACGCUGGCGGCGUGCUUAACUCAUGCAAGUCGCACGGAAAGGCCCUGCUUUUGUGGGGUGCUCGAGUGGCGAACGGGUGAGUAACACGUGAGUAACCUGCCCUUGACUUUGGGAUAACUUCAGGAAACUGGGGCUAAUACCGGAUAGGAGCUCCUGCUGCAUGGUGGGGGUUGGAAAGUUUCGGCGGUUGGGGAUGGACUGGCGGCUUAUCAGCUUGUUGGUGGGGUAGUGGCUUACCAAGGCUUUGACGGGUAGCCGGCCUGAGAGGGUGACCGGCCACAUUGGGACUGAGAUACGGACCAGACUCCUACGGGAGGCAGCAGUGGGGAAUAUUGCACAAUGGGCGGAAGCCUGAUGCAGCAACGCCGCGUGCGGGAUGACGGCCUUCGGGUUGUAAACCGCUUUCGCCUGUGACGAAGCGUGAGUGACGGUAAUGGGUAAAGAAGCACCGGCUAACUACGUG
RNAcentral lists this ribosomal RNA (467 nucleotides) under uncultured bacterium. RNAcentral describes it as "partial 16S ribosomal RNA". It matches the Rfam family "Bacterial small subunit ribosomal RNA", at positions 29 to 507 of the family's 1533-position model. The record is from RNAcentral.